UCGGUUUUUUUUUUAAAGGCCAUCGAGGCCCAUUACCGCAACACAAACUUGCUUCCAUCUGUCUCUGUCCUUGGGCUAUUGUUUCUCCAUCUCGUAUUCCAAUCUCUGCUAAAUUCUUCUCCACCUUGUCAAUCCACCUUCGUUUCGGCCUGCCAAGUGGUCUUUUUCCCUGGGGUCACCAUUUUAAAACCUCUUUCAUAAGACCGUUUGACCUCCGUAAAUAACCGGCCCAUGCCAUUCUCCUAUUUUUUAAUACUGCUACUAUGUCUGGCUCUUCGUAUAAUUGUUGUAUUUCUAUGUUAUUUCUUUUCUCAUAUUGUCGUGUCAUGUUAUUUAUUUUUGGCCCAAAUAUUCUUCUUAAUAUUCUUCUUUCGAGCAUUGCUAAUUUG
Non-coding RNA from Cinara cedri, 389 nucleotides. NCBI's taxonomy places the organism in Eukaryota, Metazoa, Arthropoda, Insecta, Hemiptera, Aphididae. The record is from the annotation of a GenBank genome assembly.